Molecule: unclassified non-coding RNA, 297 nt
Filed under: uncultured fungus
Lineage: Eukaryota; Fungi
Description: sequence contains ITS2
Source: RNAcentral
AACGCACAUUGCACCCUCUGGUCAUUCCGGAGGGUAUGCCUGUUUGAGUGUCAUUUUCAACUAUCAAUGUUGUUCAUUUUUGUUAGUGAGCUAACAUUGGACUUUGAAGGUUAUGCUGGUCCUGUUGACUUAGCUCCUUUGAAAUACAUUAGUGGCUUUCAAUGGCUAAACACCAUCAGUAUAAUUAUUCUUGAAGGUGGAACGCCAAAUUUGAAACCGCUUUCUAAUGGUCUUUUCGAAGACAAAUUUUGAAAUGACUUUGACCUCAAAUCAGGUAGGACUACCCGCUGAACUUAA